UUUCUUGACUAUAUGCAACUUCUGAUAAAUGAUGUCUAGACAAAAGAUAAUGUAAACUGUUAUCAAUUAACAUGUCUAGUUUAGGCAGACUUCAACCAAGUACUGAGCGGCACUGGACACAGGCUGGCAGAGGAACUUAACUCCAUCAACAGGUGCAGAGGCCUCCAAACAGAGAACUAAGUAUGUGAGUAUAAAGGAAAAGGAAAUGAAAAGCAAGAAGAGCAGCCAACUUGUAUGCUGAGUCUUCGGUGGAAAAAUUUUCUUCUUCCAGAAAUGAGAAUAAAUCUUAAGAAGUCAGGAAAACAGCAGGCCCGCUGCCCUGAGAGGAGGAGGAUGGAGCCUUUGGCUCCUCCGGCUCCUGCGUUUUCUGGCCUUUUAUUGGAGCGCGCACUGCAAGCCCGCCGGGCUGUGUGGCAGGCUACCUUUCCUCCGCACUCCUGUCCAAAGCCUGGGCUGCGGACUGUAAUGUCUCACACAUGUUUCCUGCAGACAGCCUUCGCUCCGGUCCCAAAACAAGUAUGUGCCUCAUAGCACUCAAAAUAAUAAUAAUUAUAAUAAGCCAUGAUUUCUAAAAUAAAUGGAAUAAAUCUUCUCUUACAA
Cavia porcellus (domestic guinea pig) is the source of this 600-nucleotide long non-coding RNA. RefSeq lists it as uncharacterized. The transcript has 2 exons. The record is from RefSeq and is a predicted model, not a curated record. Lineage: Eukaryota; Metazoa; Chordata; Mammalia; Rodentia; Caviidae.